RNAcentral lists this ribosomal RNA (1008 nucleotides) under uncultured bacterium. RNAcentral's name for it is "bacterial SSU rRNA". It matches the Rfam family "Bacterial small subunit ribosomal RNA", at positions 1 to 988 of the family's 1533-position model. The record is from RNAcentral.
UAGAGUUUGAUCAUGGCUCAGGACGAACGCUGGCGGCGUGCCUAAUACAUGCAAGUCGAACGAGACUUUUUAUUUGAUGCUUGCAUCUUUUAAAAAGUUGAGUGGCGAACGGGUGAGUAACACGUGGGUAACCUGCCUUAAAGUGGGGGAUAACACUUGGAAACAGGUGCUAAUACCGCAUAACCAUCAAAACCGCCUGGUUUUGAUGUUAAAGAUGGUUCUGCUAUCGCUUUAAGAUGGACCCGCGGCGUAUUAGCUAGUUGGUGAGGUAACGGCUUACCAAGGCAAUGAUACGUAGCCGAACUGAGAGGUUGAUCGGCCACAUUGGGACUGAGACACGGCCCAAACUCCUACGGGAGGCAGCAGUAGGGAAUCUUCCACAAUGGACGAAAGUCUGAUGGAGCAACGCCGCGUGAGUGAAGAAGGUUUUCGGAUCGUAAAACUCUGUUGUCAGAGAAGAACGUGUGUGAGAGUAACUGUUCACGCAGUGACGGUAUCUGACCAGAAAGUCACGGCUAACUACGUGCCAGCAGCCGCGGUAAUACGUAGGUGGCAAGCGUUGUCCGGAUUUAUUGGGCGUAAAGGGAACGCAGGCGGUCUUUUAAGUCUGAUGUGAAAGCCUUCGGCUUAACCGAAGUCGGGCAUUGGAAACUGGGAGACUUGAGUGCAGAAGAGGAGAGUGGAACUCCAUGUGUAGCGGUGAAAUGCGUAGAUAUAUGGAAGAACACCAGUGGCGAAAGCGGCUCUCUGGUCUGUAACUGACGCUGAGGUUCGAAAGCGUGGGUAGCAAACAGGAUUAGAUACCCUGGUAGUCCACGCCGUAAACGAUGAAUGCUAAGUGUUGGAGGGUUUCCGCCCUUCAGUGCCGCAGCUAACGCAUUAAGCAUUCCGCCUGGGGAGUACGACCGCAAGGUUGAAACUCAAAGGAAUUGACGGGGGCCCGCACAAGCGGUGGAGCAUGUGGUUUAAUUCGAAGCAACGCGAAGAACCUUACCAGGUCUUGACAUC